Molecule: ribosomal RNA, 261 nt
Filed under: uncultured archaeon
Lineage: Archaea
Description: partial 16S ribosomal RNA
Rfam family: Archaeal small subunit ribosomal RNA
Source: RNAcentral
AGGGUGUAAACGCUGCAGACUUGGUGUUGGAGGCCCUUUGGGGGCAUUCAGUGCCGGAGAGAAGUUGUUAAGUCUGCUACUUGGGGAGUACGUCCGCAAGGAUGAAACUUAAAGGAAUUGGCGGGGGAGCACCGCAACGGGAGGAGCGUGCGGUUUAAUUGGAUUCAACGCCGAAAAACUCACCAGGGAAGACUGUUACAUGAAAGCCGAGAUGAAGACUCUGCUAGAUUUUCAGAGAGGUGGUGCAUGGCGUCAGUGACU